This 170-nucleotide non-coding RNA is filed under the name Novipirellula herctigrandis. Lineage: Bacteria; Pseudomonadati; Planctomycetota; Planctomycetia; Pirellulales; Pirellulaceae. The record is from RNAcentral.
ACGCCGUGAGGUCGUGUGAGAUGGAAGCUUGUAGCGAAUCGCAGCACCGAAUGAGAGUGAACCUUCGUGCAGGCUGUUUGACCUGGGUUAGCAAGCGUGGACGAGCGACGCCCGAUAUCCGAUCGUGGUCAUUCAGUAGUGAAGGCGGGAGCGGCGAGACAUUUCUCAAU